GAUAAACGCUGGCGGCGUGCUUAACACAUGCAAGUCGAACGAAGUUUUUCCUUCGGGAGAAACUUAGUGGCGGACGGGUGAGUAACGCGUGGGUAACCUGCCCUGUACAGGGGGACAACAGCUGGAAACGGCUGCUAAUACCGCAUAAGCACUUAACACUGCAUGGUGCAUAGGGAAAAGGAGCAAUCCGGUACAGGAUGGACCCGCGUCUGAUUAGCCAGUUGGCAGGGUAACGGCCUACCAAAGCGACGAUCAGUAGCCGAUCUGAGGGGAUGUACGGCCACAUUGGGACUGAGACACGGCCCAGACUCCUACGGGAGGCAGCAGUGGGGAAUAUUGCACAAUGGAGGAAACUCUGAUGCAGCGACGCCGCGUGAGUGAAGAAGUAUUUCGGUAUGUAAAGCUCUAUCAGCAGGGAAGAAAAUGACGGUACCUGACUAAGAAGCACCGGCUAAAUACGU
RNAcentral lists this ribosomal RNA (461 nucleotides) under uncultured bacterium. Its description in RNAcentral is "partial 16S ribosomal RNA". It matches the Rfam family "Bacterial small subunit ribosomal RNA", at positions 28 to 506 of the family's 1533-position model. The record is from RNAcentral.